ACGGCUCAGUAACACGUGGAUAACCUGCCCUUGGGUCCGGCAUAACCCCGGGAAACUGGGGAUAAUUCCGGAUAACGCACAUAUGCUGGAAUGCUUUAUGCGUAAAAUGGAUUCGUCUGCCCAAGGAUGGGUCUGCGGCCUAUCAGGUAGUAGUGGGUGUAAUGUACCUACUAGCCGACGACGGGUACGGGUUGUGAGAGCAAGAGCCCGGAGAUGGAUUCUGAGACAUGAAUCCAGGCCCUACGGGGCGCAGCAGGCGCGAAAACUUUACAAUGCGGGAAACCGUGAUAAGGGGACACCGAGUGCCAGCAUCAUAUGCUGGCUGUCCAGGUGUGUAAAAUACACCUGUUAGCAAGGGCCGGGCAAGACCGGUGCCAGCCGCCGCGGUAACACCGGCGGCCCGAGUGGUGAUCGUGAUUAUUGGGUCUAAAGGGUCCGUAGCCGGUUUGGUCAGUCCUCCGGGAAAUCUGAUAGCUCAACUAUUAGGCUUUCGGGGGAUACUGCCAGACUUGGAACCGGGAGAGGUAAGAGGUACUACAGGGGUAGGAGUGAAAUCUUGUAAUCCCUGUGGGACCACCUGUGGCGAAGGCGUCUUACCAGAACGGGUUCGACGGUGAGGGACGAAAGCUGGGGGCACGAACCGGAUUAGAUACCCGGGUAGUCCCAGCCGUAAACGAUGCUCGCUAGGUGUCAGGCAUGGCGCGACCGUGUCUGGUGCCGCAGGGAAGCCGUGAAGCGAGCCACCUGGGAAGUACGGCCGCAAGGCUGAAACUUAAAGGAAUUGGCGGGGGAGCACAAU
This 799-nucleotide ribosomal RNA is filed under the name uncultured archaeon. Its description in RNAcentral is "bacterial SSU rRNA". It matches the Rfam family "Archaeal small subunit ribosomal RNA", at positions 85 to 882 of the family's 1478-position model. The record is from RNAcentral.